AUUGCGCAUGCGGGAAACCCACGCUGAGGGAAGAAUCAUGGGAAAGAGUAGAGACGGGGUUCCACCGUGUUAGCCAGGAUGGUCUCGAUUUCCUGACCUCGUCAUCCUCCCGCCUUGGCCUCCCAAAGUGCUGGGAUUACAGGCUUGAGCCACCGCGCCCCGCUCUUUCGUGUUCCAAAGGCUUUUUAAAUAAACUUCCACUCCUGUCCUGGAUUCUGCUUUAUGGCCCUCAGUCGAAUUCUUUCUUCUGAGGAGGCAAGGACUGAAGUUGCUUCUGACCAGUACAGGACCUGGAAGAAGUCAUGCCACGGGCCAGACCUUAACAUUCCUUUCGGCUUACCCCAGGAUUUCAGACAAAGCUUCACUUUCCUAACCAGUCACAAAUCAGAGAAUUUUUGAUUCCACCUAUGACCUGUGAGCUCCUGCUUCAAGAUAUUCCACCUUUUUUAGGCCAAACCAAUGUAUAACCUCCAAGUGUCGAUUUACACUUUCGACUGUAACUUCUGCUUUCCUGAGAUUUACCCCUGCCUUUAAAAACCCUUGCUUGUAAUCCCUCAGGGAGGCCGUGUAUUUAUUAAUCAUGAGCUGCCCAAUUCUCCUUGCUUGGUGCCCUGCAAAUAAACACCCUCUUUUCUCCCACUGCAAAA
RNAcentral lists this long non-coding RNA (647 nucleotides) under Homo sapiens (human). Its description in RNAcentral is "HSALNT0345015". The record is from RNAcentral. Lineage: Eukaryota; Metazoa; Chordata; Mammalia; Primates; Hominidae.